Molecule: unclassified non-coding RNA, 19 nt
Filed under: Mus musculus (house mouse)
Lineage: Eukaryota; Metazoa; Chordata; Mammalia; Rodentia; Muridae
Description: oocyte_clustered_small_RNA13804
Source: RNAcentral
CCGGCCGGGUGGCAGCCUC